UGGAUCCAGACUUUGAUUAUGGCUCAGGAUGAACGCUAGCUACAGGCUUAACACAUGCAAGUCGAGGGGAAACGACAUCGAAAGCUUGCUUUUGAUGGGCGUCGACCGGCGCACGGGUGAGUAACGCGUAUCCAACCUGCCCAUCACUUGGGAAUAACCUUGCGAAAGUAAGACUAAUGCCCAAUGAUAUCCCACGAAGACAUCUGAAUGGGAUUAAAGAUUUAUCGGUGAUGGAUGGGGAUGCGUCUGAUUAGCUUGUUGGCGGGGUAACGGCCCACCAAGGCAACGAUCAGUAGGGGUUCUGAGAGGAAGGUCCCCCACAUUGGAACUGAGACACGGUCCAAACUCCUACGGGAGGCAGCAGUGAGGAAUAUUGGUCAAUGGGCGAGAGCCUGAACCAGCCAAGUAGCGUGCAGGAAGACGGCCCUAUGGGUUGUAAACUGCUUUUAUAAGGGAAUAAAGUGAGUCUCGUGAGACUUUUUGCAUGUACCUUAUGAAUAAGGACCGGCUAAUUCCGUGCCAGCAGCCGCGGUAAUACGGAAGGUCCGGGCGUUAUCCGGAUUUAUUGGGUUUAAAGGGAGCGUAGGCCGGAGAUUAAGCGUGUUGUGAAAUGUAGUGGCUCAACCUCUGCACUGCAGCGCGAACUGGUCUUCUUGAGUACGCACAACGUGGGCGGAAUUCGUGGUGUAGCGGUGAAAUGCUUAGACAUCACGAAGAACUCCGAUUGCGAAGGCAGCUCACGGGAGCGCAACUGACGCUGAAGCUCGAAAGUGCGGGUAUCGAACAGGAUUAGAUACCCUGGUAGUCCGCACGGUAAACGAUGGAUGCCCGCUGUUGGCCUGAAUAGGUCAGCGGCCAAGCGAAAGCAUUAAGCAUCCCACCUGGGGAGUACGCCGGCAACGGUGCAACUCAAAGGAAUUGACGGA
Molecule: ribosomal RNA, 926 nt
Filed under: uncultured bacterium
Lineage: Bacteria
Also listed under: 1 other name
Description: bacterial SSU rRNA
Rfam family: Bacterial small subunit ribosomal RNA
Source: RNAcentral